UACGGGAGGCAGCAGUGGGGAAUAUUGCACAAUGGGCGCAAGCCUGAUGCAGCCAUGCCGCGUGUAUGAAAAAGGCCUUCGGGUUGUAAAGUACUUUCAGUCGUGAGGAAGGUGUUAAGGUUAAUAACCUUAGCAAUUGACGUUAGCGACAGAAGAAGCACCGGCUAACUCCGUGCCAGCAGCCGCGGUAAUACGGAGGGUGCGAGCGUUAAUCGGAAUUACUGGGCGUAAAGGGCACGCAGGCGGUUAAUUAAGUUGGAUGUGAAUCCCCGGGCUUAACCUGGGAAUGGCAUUCAAGACUGGUUAGCUAGAGUCUUGUAGAGGGGGUAGAAUUCCAUGUGUAGCGGUGAAAUGCGUAGAGAUGUGGAGGAAUACCGGUGCGAAGGCGGCCCCUGGACAAAGACUGACGCUCAUGUGCGAAAGCGUGGGGAGCAAACGAGGGAUUAGAUACC
RNAcentral lists this ribosomal RNA (452 nucleotides) under uncultured bacterium. RNAcentral describes it as "bacterial SSU rRNA". It matches the Rfam family "Bacterial small subunit ribosomal RNA", at positions 340 to 786 of the family's 1533-position model. The record is from RNAcentral.